ACGCCAGUGAGCGUAAUACAGCAGAGAUUAGCAACCAUGCAGUAGGGAAACCUAGCCCUGACAGAGUAAUAUGACGAGAUUGAGAGACAGCUUUCUCUCAAUACAAACAAAAACAUUAUGGUUCACUUGGCGCGGCAAGCGUCUUUGAUAACAAAACCAGGAAAGAUGCCUUAGAGGUCUUUGUUUCUGGCUUGAGAAGGGCUCUCAAAACGCCAGUUUUUUCCGCAAGGCUAAAGGAUCUGCCAACCGCUCUAGCCCUCGCCCAGUCGGCAGAAUCCAGCGAGCCGCAAACUACGGGUGAGCCUCAAGCGCCACAACAGGGAAAUGCCACACAGGGUCUAGGACCCAAAUACACAGGAGCGUCGAAGAAUUAUGUUAAGCCACUCGCAUACCUUCGGGAAGUCACCCCCGUCGAAACACCGUUCCCAGUGCAUAAGAAUAGGAAUCCCUAUUAACCUUCAAAGGCAUAAUUAGUCUCGCACUGUUAACGUAGAGAGGGGCAACAUUGUGCUGGAAAGCUGGGACACUCAGAUUCGGUAAAAUGUAUGUAGAUGUUGAGCAGAACAGGGGGAGCCUAUUUAUUUGAACACGAGGUCAAGAACCUUCUGAAGGACAACAUUAUUCGCAAGUCCAGAUCACCGUAAAACAAUUACAUGUGGUUUGUGGACAAAAAAAAGCACUGACGACCAGGUCAACAAGAAGAAACGUCUGAUAAUGGACUUUCGGAAGCUCAAUCACAAGACAGUGGCCGACAAAUACCCCAUGCCAAACAUCUCAAUGAUCUUAGCAAAUCUUACCACCAAAAUAACUUUAGCGAAGCGCGACCGAAAAAAAACCGAAUUUUCAGUGCAUGGAGUGAAGUACGAAUUUUGCUGACUGCUCUUCGAUCUUCGAAAUGCGGGAAGCAUCUUCCAGAGGGCAAUCCAUGAUGUUUUGCGCGAACAAAUCGGCAAAAACAUGCCUCGUCUACAUCGCUGACGUAAUUGUUUUUUCAAACACCCAAGACAAUCAUGUGCCACAUGUUGAUUGGGUACUGAAAAGCCUA
RNAcentral lists this long non-coding RNA (1045 nucleotides) under Drosophila guanche. Lineage: Eukaryota; Metazoa; Arthropoda; Insecta; Diptera; Drosophilidae. The record is from RNAcentral.